Long non-coding RNA from Oenanthe melanoleuca, 528 nucleotides. RefSeq lists it as uncharacterized. The transcript is spliced from 2 exons. Lineage: Eukaryota; Metazoa; Chordata; Aves; Passeriformes; Muscicapidae. The record is from RefSeq and is a predicted model, not a curated record.
CCGCCGUCCCUCGCCAUGGCCCUGCCGUGCCCGGACGCCGCCCGGCCCGCGGAGCGCAGCGCGCCCGCUCCGCCCGCCCAGACUAAACACCCUCAGCUCCCUCAGCCACCCUUCACUGGACUGACACUCUAGAUCCUUCACCAUCUCCUUUGCUCUUCCCUGCAUACACCUCGAUAUCUUUCCUGAAUUUGGGGGCCCAGAACUGGACACAGGAUUUGAGAUGUGGCCUCAGCAGUGCCCAGCACAGAGGGACAAUCUCUGCCCUGGUCCUGCUGGCCACACUAUUCCUGCUACAGGCCAGAUGCCAUUGGCCUUCCUGGCCACCUGGGCACCCCUGGCCUCGUGUCAGCCACAAUUCAGACCAAUGGAUACGGGGUCCCACCCUGUUACUGAGAUGCUGUUGGAAGGAAGGAGCCUGCACCCUUCAGUGUGUAACAGGGUUGGUGAAGAGGCUGUUCCGACCUGCAUCACAACCUUCACACCUAUCACAGGUCUGAAGGUUAAUAAUGAUUGUCUUUGUUUGUUCUA